Long non-coding RNA from Zea mays, 1885 nucleotides. RefSeq lists it as uncharacterized. Lineage: Eukaryota; Viridiplantae; Streptophyta; Magnoliopsida; Poales; Poaceae. The transcript has 9 exons. The record is from RefSeq and is a predicted model, not a curated record.
GAGAAAAUGAAAAUUGUGUGCUUAGUAAUUGUAUGCGCUGCUUUACUUUUGUCAUGUAUUGAUUGAAAGUUUAAAUAUGCCAGCUUUUCAUUCACUACACUAAACCAGUUAACUUCCUUUCACACCGGUGCACCCAAGACAUGGUAUGCAGUCCCUAGGGACCGAGCCUCAGAGCUAGAGGAAGUUAUUCGUGUACAUGGAUAUGGAGGAAACCCUGACCGCCUUGCAUCGCUGGCAGUGCUUGGGGAGAAGACAACAUUGAUGUCUCCAGAUGUUCUUGUAGCCCGUGGUGUGCCCUGCUGUAGGUUAGUACAGUAUCCUGGAGAGUUUGUGGUGACAUUCCCAAGGGCAUACCACAUUGGGUUUAGUCAUGGAUGUAAGGAGGGCGUCCACAGGCUACACCAUGCCUCCACCUCCGCAGAUCACGCCUACCCUGCCCCGCCCGCGACAGCCUGCAAGCAUUAAUGAAGUUGUCUGUUUUGCAAUAACUAUGUGGAGCGGUUUGAUCAUCACUGUCCAUGGGUCGGUCAGUGCAUAGGACUGGUGAUAACUCCAGUGCACAAGAAUCCGCUGAACAGGGUGGCGUUGAGCUGUAUGAAGAGGUGAACAACCGUGGGCUCUGCGCUAUUGCCCAGGCUGAGUCGUAUGUUAUAAGGUUCUCGGUGGACUCGCCAUGAGAAGGUUACGCUCUUAGUUACCCCAGGCCUGUGUUCGAAGGGCGUUAUGGUGUUCUCUGGUUUGUCAUCGAGAAUAGCUCUUUCUCUUCCGUCAAGGGUUUCACCAAUGGCUUGUAACAACUGGAUGUAGAAUGAUUUUUGUUUUUUAACUGAUGUAGUGUGUUUUUGCAUUACAAUCCAUUGUGGCUAAGGGGGCAACACAUGUAGUGUGUAGUCAUCGUGAAUUUAAUAGUAACUAGCUCUACAGUUGUGAUUGGUUUAUAAAUGUGUUUGGUUGGACCUAUCAAUUGGAUGUUUGUUGGCUACAUCACAUAUUCUCUUAAGUUUACUUUGUGUGAUCGUUGAUGGUGUCUUUAUAAAGUGCAGGUUCAAUGUUUUAACUCCCGUAGCAACGCACGAGCACAUACCUAUAUUAUUGAAUCCACUAUAGACUUUCUGGAGCUGGCUCUUCAGUUUGGCAUGAUCAUGAUGUUUGCCUGUGCAUUUCCAUUGAUAUUCUGCUUUGCAGCUCUGAACAAUGUUACUGAAAUCAGAGCAGAUGCAUUGAAGUUGUUAGUCAUGUUGAAAAGACCUGAGCCGCGUGCUGCAGCUACAAUUGGAGCAUGGUUGAACAUAUUCCAGUUCUUGGUUGUGAUGGCAAUAUGCACCAACUGCUUGCUUCUCGUUUGUCUAUAUGACGAGGAGGGGAAAUGGAGGAUUGAGCCAGGACUAGCAGCAAUCCUCAUAAUGGAGCAUGCUCUCCUCUUAAUCAAGUUUGGUUUCUCACACUUUGUGCCUAAGGAGCCUGCGUGGGUGAAAGCAAACCGUGUGCGAUAUGUAGCUCAGGCACAAAACGUCUGCUCUAAACAACUUUUGAGGAGUAUUUCAAAAUUUGACGGAAAACUGGAUUGAGAAACACCAUGCACAGCUUAGCGGUUAUCGCUGGUUUUGUAGUUUAGGUAGAGCGGUUUUGUAUAGUACAAAGAUGUACAAAUCUAGGGGUGUAAUAUCUUGAUGCAUAUGACAGUUAAGUGUAGAUAUUAGGUGAUCGCCACCUAUCUUACCAGCAAAUGGUAAAGAAUGCCCUCAAGUGUAAGUCAGUUUUUCCCCUCUUUCAUUUUAAUGGUCUGUUGAAUUGAACGGAAACUCACAUUCUGCACCAUGUAAUGUGCUGUGGGUGAUUUCGAAGAGUAAGAUGGCACCCUAGCCAAAAGAUAUCAAUUAGGGCA